GAUGAACGCUGGCGGCGUGCCUAAUACAUGCAAGUCGAGCGAACAGAUAAGGAGCUUGCUCCUUUGACGUUAGCGGCGGACGGGUGAGUAACACGUGGGUAACCUACCUAUAAGACUGGGAUAACUUCGGGAAACCGGAGCUAAUACCGGAUAACAUUUGGAACCGCAUGGUUCUAAAGUGAAAGAUGGUUUUGCUAUCACUUAUAGAGGGACCCGCGCCGUAUUAGCUAGUUGGUAAGGUAACGGCUUACCAAGGCAACGAUACGUAGCCGACCUGAGGGGGUGAUCGGCCACACUGGAACUGAGACACGGUCCAGACUCCUACGGGAGGCAGCAGUAGGGAAUCUUCCGCAAUGGGCGAAAGCCUGACGGAGCAACGCCGCGUGAGUGAUGAAGGGUUUCGGCUCGUAAAACUCUGUUAUUAGGGAAGAACAAACGUGUAAGUAACUGUGCACGUCUUGACGGUACCUAAUCAGAAAGCCACGGCUAACUACGUG
Molecule: ribosomal RNA, 497 nt
Filed under: uncultured bacterium
Lineage: Bacteria
Description: partial 16S ribosomal RNA
Rfam family: Bacterial small subunit ribosomal RNA
Source: RNAcentral